GAUGAACGCUGGCGGCGUGCCUAAUACAUGCAAGUCGAGCGAACGGACGAGAAGCUUGCUUCUCUGAUGUUAGCGGCGGACGGGUGAGUAACACGUGGAUAACCUACCUAUAAGACUGGGAUAACUUCGGGAAACCGGAGCUACUACCGGCUAAUAUUUUGAACCGCAUGGUUCAAAAGUUAAAGACGGUCUUGCUGUCACUUAUAGAUGGAUCCGCGCUGCAUUAGCUAGUUGGUAAGGUAACGGCUUACCAAGGCAACGAUGCAUAGCCGACCUGAGAGGGUGAUCGGCCACACUGGAACUGAGACACGGUCCAGACUCCUACGGGAGGCAGCAGUAGGGAAUCUUCCGCAAUGGGCGAAAGCCUGACGGAGCAACGCCGCGUGAGUGAUGAAGGUCUUCGGAUCGUAAAACUCUGUUAUUAGGGAAGAACAUAUGUGUAAGUAACUGUGCACAUCUUGACGGUACCUAAUCAGAAAGCCACGGCUAACUACGUG
Molecule: ribosomal RNA, 497 nt
Filed under: uncultured bacterium
Lineage: Bacteria
Description: partial 16S ribosomal RNA
Rfam family: Bacterial small subunit ribosomal RNA
Source: RNAcentral